RNAcentral lists this ribosomal RNA (182 nucleotides) under Brevibacillus agri. RNAcentral's name for it is "partial 16S ribosomal RNA". It matches the Rfam family "Bacterial small subunit ribosomal RNA", at positions 148 to 322 of the family's 1533-position model. Lineage: Bacteria; Bacillati; Bacillota; Bacilli; Caryophanales; Paenibacillaceae. The record is from RNAcentral.
AUAGGGAAACUUAUGCUAAUACCGGAUAGGUUUUUGGAUCGCAUGAUCUGAAAAGAAAAGAUGGCUUUUCGCUAUCACUGGGAGAUGGGCCUGCGGCGCAUUAGCUAGUUGGUGGGGUAACGGCCUACCAAGGCGACGAUGCGUAGCCGACCUGAGAGGGUGACCGGCCACACUGGGACUGA